CAGUAGCCGCGGGAAUACGUAGGUGGCAAGCGUUGUCCGGAAUUAUUGGGCGUAAAGGGCUCGCAGGCAGUUUCUUAAGUCUGAUGUGAAAGCCCCCGGCUCAACCGGGGAGGGUCAUUGGAAACUGGGAAACUUGAGUGCAGAAGAGGAGAGUGGAAUUCCACGUGUAGCGGUGAAAUGCGUAGAGAUGUGGAGGAACACCAGUGGCGAAGGCGACUCUCUGGUCUGUAACUGACGCUGAGGAGCGAAAGCGUGGGGAGCGAACAGGAUUAGAUACCCGAGUAGUCCCUGUCUCUUAUAC
This 301-nucleotide ribosomal RNA is filed under the name uncultured bacterium. RNAcentral describes it as "partial 16S ribosomal RNA". It matches the Rfam family "Bacterial small subunit ribosomal RNA", at positions 509 to 807 of the family's 1533-position model. The record is from RNAcentral.